GCAUGGUCAGCCCAGUCGGUAGAACACUAAGUUCUUAAUUUGGCUGUGGCGGGUUCGAGUCCCGCAUCGAGCU
This 73-nucleotide transfer RNA is filed under the name Enterobius vermicularis (human pinworm). It matches the Rfam family "tRNA". From Rfam's summary of the family: Transfer RNA (tRNA) molecules are approximately 80 nucleotides in length. Their secondary structure includes four short double-helical elements and three loops (D, anti-codon, and T loops). Further hydrogen bonds mediate the characteristic L-shaped molecular structure. tRNAs have two regions of fundamental functional importance: the anti-codon, which is responsible for specific mRNA codon recognition, and the 3' end, to which the tRNAs corresponding amino acid is attached (by aminoacyl-tRNA synthetases). tRNAs cope with the degeneracy of the genetic code in two manners: having more than one tRNA (with a specific anti-codon) for a particular amino acid; and 'wobble' base-pairing, i.e. permitting non-standard base-pairing at the 3rd anti-codon position. Lineage: Eukaryota; Metazoa; Nematoda; Chromadorea; Rhabditida; Oxyuridae. The record is from Rfam by way of RNAcentral.